This 468-nucleotide ribosomal RNA is filed under the name uncultured bacterium. RNAcentral describes it as "partial 16S ribosomal RNA". It matches the Rfam family "Bacterial small subunit ribosomal RNA", at positions 28 to 507 of the family's 1533-position model. The record is from RNAcentral.
GACGAACGCUGGCGGCGUGCUUAACACAUGCAAGUCGAACGGAAAGGCCCUGCUUUUGUGGGGUGCUCGAGUGGCGAACGGGUGAGUAACACGUGAGUAACCUGCCAUUGACUUUGGGAUAACUUCAGGAAACUGGGGCUAAUACCGGAUAGGAGCUCCUGCUGCAUGGUGGGGGUGGGAAAGUUUCGGCGGUUGGGGAUGGACUCGCGGCUUAUCAGCUUGUUGGUGGGGUAGUGGCUUACCAAGGCUUUGACGGGUAGCCGGCCUGGGAGGAUGACCGGCCCCACUGGGAUGGAGAUGCGGCCCGGACUCGUAUCGGAGGCAGCAGUGGGGAAUAUUGUACAAUGGGCGGAAGCCUGAUGCAGCACCGCAGCGCGGGGGAUGACGGCCAUCCGGUUGUAAACCGCUUUCGCCUGUGACGAAGCGUGAGUGACGGUAAUGGGUAAAGAAGCACCGGCUAACUACGUG